AUGGCGUGCGCCAGAAAUCUAGCAUCCCAAGGUCAAAAGAUUAAAUUUUUAGGCGCCGACGAGGAGCUUCUGGGCGGCGGAGGCGCUGGAUCCGCGUGCGUCGACGCCGCCGACGAAGCGACAUGGAUCCGGGCGGGAUGCUGCUGGAGGACUUCGGCAGCGGGUGGACCUGACGCGCGCAUCCGCGAGGUGCUGGCCAACUACCAGGAGGGCACCACCGCGCUGCGCGAGCUCAUCCAAAACGCCGACGAUGCCGGGGCCUCGCGGGUCCGCGUCUGCCUCGACCUCCGCGCCCACGGCGCCUACUCGCUGCUCGCCCCGGCGCUCGCGCAGUGGCAGGGUCCCGCCCUGCUCGCGCACAACGACGCCGCCUUCACCGACGACGACUUUGCCAGCAUCUCCCGCAUCGGCGGCAGCAAGAAGACGGGACGCUUCGCCGACAGCAGAGGAGUAUCGGGAGAGGAGAUGAACCUGGGGCGAGCAAAAUUGAGUUCAGCACCAGCGCCGAGUACUCCAGCGGCAGUAGUGCCUGAGCACCCAGCUCGCCUACACCUCGGCACGGGCGAGGAAGAGCUCAGCACCAGCUCACCUCCACCUGGGCGGGGGCGAGGAAGAGCCCAACACCAUCUGGGGAGGAAGAUCCUGGGCGAGGGGAUCCUGGACGUGGGAGAGGAGGAGAUCCUGGGCGUGGGAGAGGAGGAGGACAUGCUGGUGCAGGGGGCGAAGGUGGGGGGCGGAGGUGGUGGAGGAUUCAAAAUUAGAGAGCAACGGGGAGCUUGA
Molecule: ribosomal RNA, 780 nt
Filed under: Triticum aestivum (bread wheat)
Lineage: Eukaryota; Viridiplantae; Streptophyta; Magnoliopsida; Poales; Poaceae
Description: partial small subunit ribosomal RNA
Source: RNAcentral